Molecule: ribosomal RNA, 835 nt
Filed under: uncultured Bacillota bacterium
Lineage: Bacteria; Bacillati; Bacillota
Description: bacterial SSU rRNA
Rfam family: Bacterial small subunit ribosomal RNA
Source: RNAcentral
UGCAAGUCGAACGCGAAAGGGGCUUCGGCCCUGAGUAGAGUGGCGAACGGGUGAGUAACACGUGGGUGAUCUACCUUCGAGUGGGGGAUAACGUCCCGAAAGGGACGCUAAUACCGCAUGACGUUCUGGGUUUGAAGACCUGGAAACCAAAGCCGGGGACCGCAAGGCCUGGCGCUAGAAGAGGAGCCCGCGCCUGAUUAGCUAGUUGGCGGGGUAACGGCCCACCAAGGCGACGAUCAGUAGCCGGCCUGAGAGGGCGGACGGCCACACUGGGACUGAGACACGGCCCAGACUCCUACGGGAGGCAGCAGUGGGGAAUUGUUCGCAAUGGGCGCAAGCCUGACGACGCAACGCCGCGUGGAGGAUGAAGGUCUUCGGAUUGUAAACUCCUGUUGAUCGGGACGAAUGGGCUCCGGCCUAGUACGGCGGAGCAAUGACGGUACCGAUUGAGGAAGCCACGGCUAACUCUGUGCCAGCAGCCGCGGUAAUACAGAGGUGGCAAGCGUUGUUCGGAAUUACUGGGCGUAAAGGGCGCGUAGGUGGCCUUCUUAGUCAGACGUGAAAUCCCCGGGCUUAACUCGGGAACUGCGUCUGAUACUGGAAGGCUCGAGUUCGGGAGAGGAAUGUGGAAUUCCAGGUGUAGCGGUGAAAUGCGUAGAUAUCUGGAGGAACACCGGUGGCGAAGGCGGCAUUCUGGACCGAAACUGACGCUGAGGCGCGAAAGCCAGGGGAGCAAACGGGAUUAGAUACCCCGGUAGUCCUGGCCCUAAACGAUGAGUGCUUGGUGUGGCGGGUAUCGAUCCCUGCCGUGCCGAAGCUAACGCAUUAAGCACUC